AAUACAAAUACUUCAAUUUUAAAGUCAUCUCUUAUUUUACUUCUUUAUAUCUGCAAUAUCUUUGAUAUUGUUUCAAAGGCAGCGUCUGCGUCAUGUAGUUACUUACUUGUGCAUAUUUUACAUUUUUUUUUAGACUUCCAAGCUUUGGGUGUCAACGAAUGUUUGUAAACUGAAUUACUAAUGAUGAGAAGAAAAACACAUUACAAUUGGUUGGAGCUAAUGAUGAAAUAAGCGGACAUGUAUAUACCCAGCAUAAUUUUCGUACUUAUACUCUCUUAUAUUUCUAAACUCUUGAUUUGUUAGUUACUGUCUAUCGCAAUUGAUUCUUUGGGUAGAAAAGUUGUACCUUCUUUAUAUAUUUUUCUUAAUCUUUGUAUAUUCUUCAGUCAAUGAUAAUAAAUUUGUUGUAUAUUUAUGCUAUCUGCUUUAUUUUAAAAAUCUUAGUUAAGAGUUGUAGCAGAUAUAAUUUAAAACAAUGUUGUCCCUGCAUAGCAGGGCCAAAUGCUAGUCAGUUAGUAUAUUUCAAAAGUUAAUAUCAU
RNAcentral lists this small RNA (539 nucleotides) under Arabidopsis thaliana (thale cress). Its description in RNAcentral is "ATSL176720". Lineage: Eukaryota; Viridiplantae; Streptophyta; Magnoliopsida; Brassicales; Brassicaceae. The record is from RNAcentral.